RNAcentral lists this long non-coding RNA (554 nucleotides) under Fukomys damarensis (Damara mole-rat). RNAcentral's name for it is "lncRNA (ENSFDAG00000029915.1)". Lineage: Eukaryota; Metazoa; Chordata; Mammalia; Rodentia; Bathyergidae. The record is from RNAcentral.
UGUCAAUCAUAGCUGGGCAUGGUGGCGCAUGCUUGUAAUCCCAGUACUCCUGGUGACUGAGGCAGGAGGAUGGCAAAUUCAGGUACAUACUCAGCAAUUUAGGGAGACCCUGUCUCAGAAUAGAAAAUGAGCAAGGACUGAGGAGUGUGAAAGCCCUGGGUUCAAUCCCUAGUGUAGCACACACACACGCACACACACACACUCAAACACACGCACACGCAUGCAUGUGUACCCACCCGCCCACCAGGCCACACUGCUAAGAGAGCAUAAAUAGAACAGGAUGUGCAAAUGCUCUUGGCUUUUCCUCUCCUAGAAGCCUCAGGAUUGCAUCACCCUCCACCAUCCUGUGGUGUGGAGCUCAGCUGUCAUCCAGCAGGCCGGCUCUGGCCUCCGGGAGAGACCAUGACUGACAGUGGGUAACUAUAAUUCCAAAUGAAACAUGUACUAGAAGGAAAACGUACCAUCAAAUCACAAGAUAGCCGGACAUGUUGGUGCACACCUGGAAUCCCGUAUACUCUGGAGGCGGAGACAGGUAGAUCACAAGUUUGUUGUUG